This 480-nucleotide ribosomal RNA is filed under the name uncultured soil bacterium. Its description in RNAcentral is "bacterial SSU rRNA". It matches the Rfam family "Bacterial small subunit ribosomal RNA", at positions 26 to 518 of the family's 1533-position model. The record is from RNAcentral.
AGGACGAACGCUGGCGGUGCGCCUAACACAUGCAAGUCGAACGGUGAACCGGGCUUCGGCCCGGGGAUCAGUGGCGAACGGGUGCGUAACACGUGGGCAACCUGCCCCCGACCCUGGGAUAACCCCGGGAAACCGGAGCUAAUACCGGAUACUCUCCUCCGACCACAUGGUCAGAAGAGGAAAGGUCCGCCGGUCGGGGAUGGGCCCGCGGCCUAUCAGCUUGUUGGUGGGGUAACGCCUACCAAGGCGACGACGGGUAGCUGGUCUGAGAGGACGACCAGCCACACUGGGACUGAGACACGGCCCAGACUCCUACGGGAGGCAGCAGUGGGGAAUCUUGCGCAAUGGGCGAAAGCCUGACGCAGCGACACCGCGUGGGGGAUGAAGGCCUUUCAGGUCGUAAACCCCUUUCGGCAGGGACGAAGCGAUCUCGUGACGGUACCUGCAGAAGAGCUCGGCUAACUACGUGCCAGCAGCCGC